UACGUAGGGCGCGAGCGUUAAUCGGAAUUACUGGGCGUAAAGCGCGCGCAGGCGGUUUUUUAAGUCAGAUGUGAAAUCCCCGGGCUUAACCUGGGAAUGGCAUUUGGGACUGCAAGGCUCGAGUGCGGCAGAGGAGACUGGAAUUCCUGGUGUAGCAGUGAAAUGCGUAGAUAUCAGGAGGACCACCGAUGGCGAAGGCAGGUCUCUGGGCUGACACUGACGCUCAUGCACGAAAGCGUGGGGAGCAAACAGG
This 253-nucleotide ribosomal RNA is filed under the name uncultured bacterium. RNAcentral's name for it is "partial 16S ribosomal RNA". It matches the Rfam family "Bacterial small subunit ribosomal RNA", at positions 524 to 776 of the family's 1533-position model. The record is from RNAcentral.